This 253-nucleotide ribosomal RNA is filed under the name uncultured bacterium. Its description in RNAcentral is "partial 16S ribosomal RNA". It matches the Rfam family "Bacterial small subunit ribosomal RNA", at positions 524 to 776 of the family's 1533-position model. The record is from RNAcentral.
UACGUAGGGUGCAAGCGUUGUCCGGAAUUAUUGGGCGUAAAGAGCUCGUAGGCGGUCUGUCGCGUCGGAUGUGAAAAUCCAGGGCUCAACCCUGGACCUGCAUUCGAUACGGGCAGACUAGAGUUCGGCAGGGGAGACUGGAAUUCCUGGUGUAGCGGUGAAAUGCGCAGAUAUCAGGAGGAACACCGGUGGCGAAGGCGGGUCUCUGGGCCGAUACUGACGCUGAGACGCGAAAGCGUGGGGAGCAAACAGG